RNAcentral lists this long non-coding RNA (250 nucleotides) under Phoenix dactylifera (date palm). RNAcentral describes it as "long non-coding RNA (PDAC_LNC014584)". The record is from RNAcentral. Lineage: Eukaryota; Viridiplantae; Streptophyta; Magnoliopsida; Arecales; Arecaceae.
AUAAAUCAGUAAACAGAGAAUCGAAGUUGGAUAGAUUAAGAUGGUGUAGGGAUCUGGAAUCCCCCUUGAUGAUAUUAUUUUCAACAAUUAAAUUCCAUGAUUCUUGAUUAAGGAUCAAUCAGAUAGAAUAGUUCUAAUCAUGGAGUAUAUAAUUUGAAAUCAUGAAUUCAAGAUCUAAGUAUUUAUCGUGCCGAUUACGUCUACGACAAAUCAAACAUCGAAACAAUCCAUGAAUCAAUAAAUAUAAACC